GGAGGGCUGGCGCACAUAUCUUGCCUCCUAGAAACACAAUGCAAGACUCUGUAUGAAACUGAAUCUGCUGGAGCAUAACAUUCAUAAACAAGGUGAAAAUGUUGGCACUGGAGCACUGCUGCUUAGGCCUGUAAGUAGAACUGUAGCGACAAAUCUUUCUCUUGCUUCAAUGUGCUUUAUCUUAGUACAUA
This is a long non-coding RNA of Spea bombifrons (plains spadefoot toad), 191 nucleotides long. RefSeq lists it as uncharacterized. The record is from RefSeq and is a predicted model, not a curated record. NCBI's taxonomy places the organism in Eukaryota, Metazoa, Chordata, Amphibia, Anura, Pelobatidae. The transcript has 3 exons.